AGCAGCCGCGGUAAUUCUAGCUCCAAUAGCGUAUAUUAAAGUUGUUGCAGUUAAAAAGCUCGUAGUUGAAUUUCGGGGUUAGUAGGUUGGUCAUGCCUCUGGUAUGUACUGGUCUCACUGAUUCCUCCUUCCUGAUGAGCCGUAAUGCCAUUAAUUUGGUGUUGCGGGGAAUUUGGACUGUUACUUUGAAAAAAUUAGAGUGUUUAAAGCAAGCUAACGCUUGAAUACAUUAGCAUGGAAUAAUGAGAUAGGACGUUCGAUCCUAUUUUGUUGGUUUCUAGGAUUGACGUAAUGAUUAGUGGGGAUAGUUGGGGGCAUUAGUAUUCAAUUGUCAGAGGUGAAAUUCUUGGAUUUAUUGAAGACUAACUACUGCGAAAGCAUUUGCCAAGGAUGUUUUCAUUAAUCAAGAACGAAAGUUAGGGGAUCGAAGACGAUCAGAUACCGUCGUAGUCUUAACCAUAAACUAUGCCGACUAGGGAUCGGAUGAUGUUAAUUUUUAAUGA
Molecule: ribosomal RNA, 503 nt
Filed under: uncultured Glomus
Lineage: Eukaryota; Fungi; Glomeromycota; Glomeromycetes; Glomerales; Glomeraceae
Description: SSU rRNA
Rfam family: Eukaryotic small subunit ribosomal RNA
Source: RNAcentral